AGCAUAAGUGUUAUUCAGGAUGAAGUUAUACAAGGGCUUGAGAAUCUUGCAUUCCUCAAGAUGACAUCCAUUGCAACAGGUCAGAAUUCUUUAUGAGUGCUGCAUUAUGGCCCACUUCACGCUUAAGAACAAACAUGAGGAUUUCAGAGCUGAAUCAACGUUAGACUCUUAAAAAACAAUUGUAUCAUCUUAUCUUCACAGGUACGGGACAAAGACAAGACCAUCACGGAUAAAGACAGGAGCAGAUUUAGUAUAUGUGCUGCCACCAUAACGGAUAAAGACAAGAACAGAUUUUAGUAUAUGUGCUGCCAUUUGAGACCAGCCUGGCCAACAUUG
Molecule: long non-coding RNA, 336 nt
Organism: Homo sapiens (human)
Lineage: Eukaryota; Metazoa; Chordata; Mammalia; Primates; Hominidae
Exons: 3
Source: RefSeq, a predicted model, not a curated record